UACGUAGGUGGCGAGCGUUGUCCGGAUUUACUGGGCGUAAAGGGCGUGCAGGCGGUUUGUUAAGUGCAGGGUGAAAGCUCCCGGCUCAACUGGGAGAGGUCCUUGCAUACUGGCGAUCUCGAGUCCGGGAGAGGUGAGUGGAACUGCGAGUGUAGAGGUGAAAUUCGUAGAUAUUCGCAAGAACACCAGUGGCGAAGGCGGCUCACUGGCCCGGUACUGACGCUGAGGUGCGAAAGCGUGGGAGCAACAGGG
This 252-nucleotide ribosomal RNA is filed under the name uncultured bacterium. RNAcentral's name for it is "partial 16S ribosomal RNA". It matches the Rfam family "Bacterial small subunit ribosomal RNA", at positions 524 to 776 of the family's 1533-position model. The record is from RNAcentral.